UUCGAGUGGCGGACGGGUGAGUAACGCGUGGGUAACCUGCCUUACACAGGGGGAUAACACCUGGAAACAGGUGCUAAUACCGCAUAAGCGCACAGGGCCGCAUGGCCCGGUGUGAAAAACUCCGGUGGUGUAAGAUGGACCCGCGUCUGAUUAGCUUGUUGGCGGGGUAGGGGCCCACCAAGGCGACGAUCAGUAGCCGGCCUGAGAGGGUGGACGGCCACCAUUGGGACUGAGACACGGCCCAAACUCCUACGGAAGGCAGCAG
This 265-nucleotide ribosomal RNA is filed under the name uncultured bacterium. RNAcentral describes it as "partial 16S ribosomal RNA". It matches the Rfam family "Bacterial small subunit ribosomal RNA", at positions 90 to 354 of the family's 1533-position model. The record is from RNAcentral.